GGGCGAUUAGCUCAGCUGGGAGAGCGCUUGCCUUACAAGCAAGAUGUCGGCGGUUCGAUCCCGUCAUCGCCCACCA
RNAcentral lists this transfer RNA (76 nucleotides) under Heliobacterium mobile. RNAcentral's name for it is "Heliobacillus mobilis tRNA-Val". It matches the Rfam family "tRNA". From Rfam's summary of the family: Transfer RNA (tRNA) molecules are approximately 80 nucleotides in length. Their secondary structure includes four short double-helical elements and three loops (D, anti-codon, and T loops). Further hydrogen bonds mediate the characteristic L-shaped molecular structure. tRNAs have two regions of fundamental functional importance: the anti-codon, which is responsible for specific mRNA codon recognition, and the 3' end, to which the tRNAs corresponding amino acid is attached (by aminoacyl-tRNA synthetases). tRNAs cope with the degeneracy of the genetic code in two manners: having more than one tRNA (with a specific anti-codon) for a particular amino acid; and 'wobble' base-pairing, i.e. permitting non-standard base-pairing at the 3rd anti-codon position. The record is from RNAcentral. RNAcentral also lists the same sequence under 5 other names. Lineage: Bacteria; Bacillati; Bacillota; Clostridia; Eubacteriales; Heliobacteriaceae.